This 1501-nucleotide long non-coding RNA is filed under the name Equus asinus (donkey). Its description in RNAcentral is "lncRNA (ENSEASG00005025077.1)". The record is from RNAcentral. Lineage: Eukaryota; Metazoa; Chordata; Mammalia; Perissodactyla; Equidae.
GCCGCCGCGGCGGCGGGGGCUCCCUCCUCCUGCGCGCGGGCCCAGCCCGGCCGCCAGCUCGCCCUCGACUCCUGGGGACAGCUCGCAGGCUCCCCCCCCGAACGGCUCCCGGCCGCCCCCGAGCCCGCCCCGCUCCCGCCGCCUCCGCUCCGCCCCUGCUCCCUCGGGUGCGGGGGCCGCGGGCGUUGGGAACGAGGUCCCUGCAGAGUCACCUCCUGGCCGCGCGCAGCGUCCUGGGGUUUCCCUGCGGGAAUCGCUUGUCGUGGGUGUUUGGACUCACGUGCGGGUACGGGGUGGCCAAGAGCUGGAACUCUCGCCCGUGAGCUCCGGGGAAGGGGGUGAAGGCCGGACCUGAAAGUCGCCCUUUGCUCCGCCCGAGUCCCCAAAAGCAACCCUACGAGGUGGCCACGCCGGCUGCCCGGAGAGAGGCCCAGGAAAAUGUCUGACUCUUCCUCCGCCCAGCGCGGGGCUGGGAGGACAUUUCCCGGGAGAACCAAAGACCCCUCCCCCCUGCUACCGCCUCGGGUUGGGGACUCUGGCGAAGAGAAUAUGCAGAACUGGCAGGCGGGGCACCAGGCUGGAACCUGUGGAAAAGGGCACAAAAGGCUAAGCCAUGGAAAGUUCAAGAGUCUGGAAGAGACCUGCCUGAGUAAAAAGUUUCUCCUUCUCUUCUCAUUAAGAGGAAAGUCAUCUCUCAAACGGAACCUUAUUAAACUUACAUCCUUUCUGAAUAUGGUAAUCCCUCUGCAUCUAUUAGUUAUUUUAAUUUUAUAUUCCUGGUACAAUCUGAUUCCAAAAAGUGUCCAGUCAGCUGAUGGGGAUAAAGGAUCUACUUUUUUCCUGGGAAAAAUUCUAGUGGCCAAAAAGAAUGGGAGAGUUUAUUUAGAGCCAGUAGAAUUGGUCUCAGGCAGUGUUAAGAUGGAGAUGGACAUUCCUCAGUAAACCUCGCCUUUUUUUCAAUUUGCCUUCACAGUAGCCUUGUCCACCUAAUACUGCCAGUUCUCCAAGCCAGUCCACCUCAAACAGAAGUGUUAGGGACUUUGGGUGCUGUUGCCUACUAGUGUUUGUCUUGGAAAAGUGACAUUUUGAGUAGAAAUGACAGAGUAAAGGAAGAUCCAUGGAGAAUCUUUCCUAUACUCCUCAUUUGCAGACUUUUCUGGUAGUCAUUUCAUUGUAAAAAUGGGUCCGGUGGCGAGCAGGCUUCUUUAAAAAGAAAGAAAAUUGUGCUCUUCCUCAUUCCACAGCACUUCAAAUAGGGUCUAAGGGCACCCAACCUGGAAUGAGAACAGGUUACAUUCAAAUCGUAGAGUAAGCUUCAAAUUGGUUAUAUCAAACAGUCGAAUUUGCUUAUGCAUAUUCAUAACGAUAAGAGAAAAUAUUAAUUUCAAUUUACAAGUCGUCAAAAAGCACCUGUGGGCCACAUAAUGAAUAGCCCCGUGUUAAAGUAAUACAUGUUUGUUCUUUCACAAAUAAAUUUUCCUCUGAAAUAUAGACAUCUGUC